Long non-coding RNA from Carassius auratus (goldfish), 757 nucleotides. RefSeq lists it as uncharacterized. The record is from RefSeq and is a predicted model, not a curated record. The transcript is spliced from 2 exons. NCBI's taxonomy places the organism in Eukaryota, Metazoa, Chordata, Actinopteri, Cypriniformes, Cyprinidae.
UCUUGUCCUGGUGCUCCUCUGAGACAAGGUCUUUACGGGGGAUCUGUAUCUGGGGCUCUAGUUGUCCUGGUUGUCCUGGUCUCAGUAUUACUACAGGUAAUACUGAGCAUUUACAUACAGCAGAAACAGCAUCUUUAUUUCAGGGUGAAUAUGAUUUAGCCAUUUAGGAUAUUUUUUCUUGUUUGACAUUGUUGCGGAACCACACUGCUAUCAACCAAUCAGAUUUAGGGUGAUGGUUAAGUUUAGGAUUAGGGCUGGGGUUGAGGACUAAACAAAAGUAUUAUUAAACUAAUAUUUCCUUCUUAUUUUACAUUCAAGAUAAAGCAGCUUUUCAAGUGAAUAUGGACAUCAAAACAAUCACAGCAUUUCUGAUGGGAAUGUCAACUUCAGCAGUCAUCUUCUCUGUGGUUUUGUGCUGUCAAGGGUCCUGGAAAAGGGACAAGACAUAUGAAGUGGUGGCCACGAACACAUACACUGAAGUUGUACUGGAAUAUUUUCAAGGAAAAAAUUUAAGGAGAUACUGUAUGAAAGAGUGAGAUUAAUCAUUUGGAUUAAAUGAUUUGAAUUUAUAACUUAUAGUUUUUUUUUUAUUAUCAUGUUGGAUAUAGAUUUUUCUGAAAUUGUAAAAUAUAAUAUAUUAAGUCACUUCUUCACAAAUUUAGAAACUUAAUUCUGUCUGAGUUUAUCUUUGUUAUUGCUGAAUGAUUUCUCCUUGUUCAGAGAUAUUUUCUUUGACAAAUAAAACAGUGUUAAUUAA